CUAUCUCGGAAGUCACCGAAAUGCAAAUAUGUUAUUUAUGACAAGGAGGUAACAAUCAGUCUGUGGAGAUGCUUUACACAAAACGUUAAACUGUAAUGCACAUGGUCUGAACAAAAUUUAAGUUCCGGUAUAAAAGAAAAUCGUCUUUA
Molecule: long non-coding RNA, 149 nt
Organism: Hyposmocoma kahamanoa
Lineage: Eukaryota; Metazoa; Arthropoda; Insecta; Lepidoptera; Cosmopterigidae
Exons: 3
Source: RefSeq, a predicted model, not a curated record